Molecule: unclassified non-coding RNA, 151 nt
Filed under: uncultured fungus
Lineage: Eukaryota; Fungi
Description: sequence contains ITS1
Source: RNAcentral
UUGAUCCUUAAUUUCAAGUUCAGACACAGGCCAAUUCGUUGCAUAAAGGCGGCACAGAAGCGCCGAAGCACGUUUCGCUUCCACAGGUUUGAAGGGUUGAAGGCCAAAAGGCCAUUCAGUAAUGAUCCCUCCGCAGGUUCACCUACGGAGA